Molecule: long non-coding RNA, 260 nt
Filed under: Mytilus galloprovincialis (Mediterranean mussel)
Lineage: Eukaryota; Metazoa; Mollusca; Bivalvia; Mytilida; Mytilidae
Source: RNAcentral
UUGUUGUUUGUGACUUUUAGGAAGAGAGGAGGUCGGGUUGCUCUGUUUUUUAGUUUCUAAGUAGUGUCUUGUAGAUUGUUGUUUGUCUUUUCGUUGUAUUUUGCUGUGGUCUUCUCAUUGACUUAAAAGCUUAAUAUAAGUACUGAUUGUCCUUAUGUAUCUUUCGCAAGAUUUAAAAACAAUUCUCGUACAUAAUUGCAAAAUAUUUUUAUGGUAAGCUCUUAUGUUAUGUUGUUAUGCCACUCUCACAGGUUAGGGGA